Molecule: long non-coding RNA, 3815 nt
Filed under: Homo sapiens (human)
Lineage: Eukaryota; Metazoa; Chordata; Mammalia; Primates; Hominidae
Description: HSALNT0313034
Source: RNAcentral
CUCGUGAUCCGCCCGCCUCGGCCUCCCAAAGUGCUGGGAUUACAGGCGUGAGCCACCGCCGUGCCCAACAAAUUAAAUAAUCUUAAGAACAUAAAGUUGUCCUUUAAUUUUUAAUUUUUCCCUAGUAAAUAGAAAUGCCUAAAAGUAUAUAGCUAAUAAUAAGCUGAAGGUGGAAAAUUAAAAAUUAAAAAUCUUUUUCUCCACAUUGUAUUUAACAAUAGGAGGAAGAGAAUUUUGUACUUAGUUUUCUUUCACAAGGAAGUUACCAUCACAUUUUUAUUCUAUAUCAUUUGAAUUUUCACAAGCUAAACAGAGAAAAGGGAGUAUUAACUUCAUGCAUUUUGUAAUUACACAUAGGAUCUACAGCUUAUGCUAUAUACCAAAGGUACAUAAUCCAAAGAACAGUAAGAAGAAAAGUAAAAUAUCUAAAAAUUUCAAAUAUUUAAGGAAGUAGGCAUACAUAUUGAAAAUCUGAAAAGGUUUUACAGAUUUUAGCCCAAUACAUAAUUACUCAUUAUGUGAAGGUUUAUUAAGCCUCUAGGUAACACAUACGGAUACGCUCUAUUCUAGAUAAAUUUGAUACACUUGAUACUACAAAGGUCAACCAAAGACAUGUAUCAUUCUUCAAAGAAAAUCCUGUAAUAGCAGCCUGAAAGUCAUAGCUAAACUUACAGCAAAAGUAUCUAAUUCACAUUUAGGAAAAUAUGACAAUUAUCUCCCUUUUUUACUUGCUCACUCUCUUCAAAGCAUAACAGGUUGCUUUCCAAAUGAGGAAGAUACAUUUUGUGAAACUAAUGAAAGACUUUACAUUUAACCUUUUUAAAGUAGUAAAUAAUUUUUUCAAAAAAAAAUCACUUGUUUCUCCUUCCCGUUAACUGUCUGCUUCUUUGCUAUUCCAGAAUCCCUAUAAGUUUACUAAAGACAAUGACAAUUUCUCCAUGUUGGUCAGGCUGGUCUCAAACUCUCGACCUCAGGUGAUCUGCCUGCCUCGGCCUCCCAAAGUGCUGAGAUUAGAGAGCUGUAAGAGAGGUCUGUGCCUAAAUCACACGUUUACUACGAGGAAUUAACUGAAAGCACCUACAUGAAGACACCUGGAAACUAUAAAGAACUUCCUGGAAACUAUAAAGAACUGUAUAAUUAUAAGUUCACAAUCUACUGAAGAGCACAGUAAGCAUGACCUUUAAAAAGCUAUACGGUAAAUGUCAUGAGGGGAGAAGUACUGCACACAUGGGAGCCCAGAGCACGAGCAACUAGUCCAGACUUGGUAGAAGUGAGAGCACAGAAGGUAACUUGGGGGAUGCUUCCUAGAGGAAGUACACUCUUUAAAGAGGACAGAAAAAGUGACUAUGUGAUGCUCAUGCAUGUGUGUGUGUUUUUAGUGAGGUGUCAGCUCCUAAGGGAGUUUAAUAUGACUGGAGGUUAGGGUACGAAAAUGACAAGAGUGAGAGGUAAAUAUGGAGAGAGACGUAAAGAGACCACAGUAAACCUUAUGAGUAUUUAAAUUUAGCCUUUAUUAUUACAGAGAUAAGGGAGAGUAUUUCAAGUUCUUGGUACUUGAGAUAACACCUCAACAGACCUCAUCAUUUCAGCAUUGUGUUAACCCAUAAAGCUGGCACAAUAUGAAACAUUAUUCAAGAAGAUGAGGAAAAGACAGUAACAUGGUACUUCAGUUCAGAGAAAGAGCCCACUUGUGACCCCUUCCUGGUAAAACAGGAAGUCCUGAUACAUAAUGUUAAUUCAAACCAUGGAUAGCAUUGGGCAUACUUGAAGACAAACAGUUGCAGAAGUCCAUUUUGCCUGCUCAUAGUUAAGUUACUGGUAAAGCAAACUCACAUUAAUGCAUACUCUGUAUGAGGAAAAACUGAGCUGCUAUAUCAGAGUAUGUUGGCAUUCCACUUCAUGCUAUUUCCAGAUUCUAAAAAGCUUUAGGCCCAUGAGCCAACUCACCCUGCCUUCCAAACAUGCUCACUUACGUAAUUGUAAAAAGAAUGCCCAUCCUACAGUCUCUGUCACCUAUUAUGCUCACUAGCCCUUAUAAAAGGAAAGCUCAAGUGUGAGUCAGAAAACAAUCAGGACACCAAGGCAAAACCACCUUAGGGCACUUUAGGUUCACAUGACAAUGUUUUAUAAGAAUCUGAUCUUCCAGAAGGCAAGAACAUCAUAAUUAUAAUGUCAUUUUUUCACCUCAUUCCAUGUUUUGAUCUAAGUUCAAAUUAGUAUAAAGGAGUAUUUCACUAACCUUUAAAAAAGAUUUAGCAUAUGAAAGGUUGAGAAAAUGUUUAGAACUUAUUAACUCAGCAAACUGAUUGCAAGCAAACAAUACUUUUAAAUUUGUUCCCACAGGUGUCAAAGGGGAUUUCUGAGUAAGCACAUGGCAUUGUUUGAUGUGUUAGGAUUUAAUACAUCUUGUGAGCCUCUACAUUUAGAAUGUCACCAGCCAGAUUCUAGAGACACUGCACAUCUCACCUUUCACUAGUUUCAACUACAAUUUGAUUCCAGUUGUCUCCACCUCACCCGUCCAACCUUCUGCUCAUUCUGAGAGCUGGCACUAUAAGUCACCUGUGCCCUCUCCUCAUAUAAACAGCAUAAACAACCUCUCAGUUUGGCAGUAGAAGAUAUGCUAAUUGACAUUUUGAAAAUGGUCAUUUAUAUGAAAGAUAUACAUUUUUUGUUAACAAUUUGGUUUAUUGUAACUUUUAGCCACAAUAUUUCUCCCCAGGUCAAAAAGAACACUGGAACAUGAAAAGAACAGUAAUUAAUUCUUUUCUAUAAGUAGUAUGAAGUGGCUGCUCAUCCUAUGUCGCCACUUGAAGAAAGCGAACUACAGGCUGCUCAUUAAAAUAUCAUAAAUAUCCUUAAAAUGCUUUAAAAAUUUGCAAAAGAGUCUUAUAUAAUCUGGGCAAUGAUUUAAAAGAAGAAAAUGAACAAGAUUACCACUUUUAACAUCAUUAAAAUCUCAAAACAGUAAUUUUUGUCAAAAAUGUAUUUAUCUCCCUAUUAUUUUUACUUGCUCAUUCUUUUCAAAGCAUAACAGGUUGCUUUCCAAAUGAGGAAGAUACAUUUUGUGAAACUAAUGAAAGACUUUACAUUUAACCUUUUUAAAGUAGUAAAUAAUUUUUUAAAAAAAAAACUUGUUUCUCCUUCCCCUUAACUGUCUGCUUCUUUGCUAUUCCGGAAUCCCUAUAAGUUUACUAAAGAGUAUUUUUUAGUUCCCUUAAAUGUUUUAGUUGCUUAAUUUUUCCCUCAUAAUCUUACGAGAAAUGCGUAUUCGUAAUUAAAACACCUUCAACAACAAAAAGUUUCUGAAUUUAGAAACAAAAAAGUAGCAGGAAAAAUACACUGCUAUUCAAAGUAAACACCUGCAAUAAAUUAUGUAUUUAUAGAAUUAAAAUUUUAAGAUUGAUCUAAAGCAGUUGUUCUUCACCCUCAACCUGGACAAGUUCAGCCUACCUACAGGCCCUCAUUAUGCGGGCCCUAUAUCUGUCUGCCAACAGGACUGUCUACCAUUGUAGCAAUGAAUGAGUAGAAUGAAAGCACUCAGGACUCAGGCAAACAUUAACAAAAUGUUCAUUCUAGUUGCUCUCCAAGAUUUUGGUAUUAUGUGUAUACUAUAUGAAUGUUACUGAUGAAGGCAUAUGUAUCUUUGGAAUUUUCAAUGUUUUUCCCUCAUGUUCAAUAUGUUGUAAUGCAGUACUCUUAGUCCAAAUGCAUUUCUCUAUCUACUCUCUUUGCUAUGUUGGGGCCCAACGCAACAAAAUACAGGAAAGCAUUAUGUAUACUGAUUAAUAAGAUUUAGCUGAGGUCUUCAAGGAGCU